RNAcentral lists this unclassified non-coding RNA (475 nucleotides) under Dendronephthya gigantea. RNAcentral describes it as "uncharacterized LOC114526137, transcript variant X14". Lineage: Eukaryota; Metazoa; Cnidaria; Anthozoa; Malacalcyonacea; Nephtheidae. The record is from RNAcentral.
UGUAAAGUUUCGGGAUUUAGCUGCUAGUUGUGCCGUGAAUUUCGUGCGAGAGAAGAAUCGGCGGAUUUUUAACAUCAUUUCGUGUCCAUCGAUGUUUGCUUUCUUUUGAAAAUUGCGAGAAGGUUCAUCACUACAAAACGACGAAAUUUCAUGACGAUCUGGGCGUAAAUGGCGAUAAAAAUUCGUCGAGAACAUGCCAAGUUGUGAACAAUCUUCGCUCAAAUUUGCUUCCGAAAAGUUGGCUAACGUGUAGUGAAACAGGAGGAGAUCUACCAUUAUUUUGCGUAUACACAAUGUUGUAUAAUGUUGGUUGAGUGUUUACAGCGAGGACAACUCAAAGUUAUUCAACUCGUGUGAGAAGUUCUCUGAGUCAAGAUAAUGAAUAAAAGCGGCCCAAGAAUGCUUCCUUGUUGGACCCCUACAUUCACAGGCUUUACAGAGGACUGCUUAUUAUAAACGACGGUGACUUGGCAUC